AACGAACGCUGGCGGCAGGCCUAACACAUGCAAGUCGAGCGCGCCCUUCGGGGUGAGCGGCGGACGGGUGAGUAACGCGUGGGAACGUGCCCUUUUCUACGGAAUAGCCUCGGGAAACUGAGAGUAAUACCGUAUACGCCCUUUGGGGGAAAGAUUUAUCGGAAAAGGAUCGGCCCGCAUUGGAUUAGGUAGUUGGUGGGGUAAUGGCCUACCAAGCCGACGAUCCAUAGCUGGUUUGAGAGGAUGAUCAGCCACACUGGGACUGAGACACGGCCCAGACUCCUACGGGAGGCAGCAGUGGGGAAUCUUAGACAAUGGGGGCAACCCUGAUCUAGCCAUGCCGCGUGAGUGAUGAAGGCCUUAGGGUUGUAAAGCUCUUUCAGCUGGGAAGAUAAUGACGGUACCAGCAGAAGAAGCCCCGGCUAACUCCGUG
Molecule: ribosomal RNA, 433 nt
Filed under: uncultured bacterium
Lineage: Bacteria
Description: partial 16S ribosomal RNA
Rfam family: Bacterial small subunit ribosomal RNA
Source: RNAcentral